UUUUUCCUUUAUUUUUUGUGA
Molecule: non-coding RNA, 21 nt
Filed under: Caenorhabditis elegans
Lineage: Eukaryota; Metazoa; Nematoda; Chromadorea; Rhabditida; Rhabditidae
Source: RNAcentral